GAGCCCGAAGCAAUUCGAGCCAUUAAGAGAAAGAAAAAGGAGCCGAGCAGAGGAGCCUGGAAGCUGAGGCGAAGCUAAUCCCUGACAGACAGACAGACUCACUUUGCCUCUUGGCCCAUCUCCACAGAUGCUGGGCAGACACACUCCUGCCUUGCAAGAGCAAAUUAAGAAUGCCAUUGGAUCCAUCAGAGUUUUGAGAAAUGACUUAAGGGAGGAAGACCUUAUUUUGACUCAUGGUUUCACAGGACUUAGUCCAUGGUCACUUCGGGUCCCUCAUCUCUGGACCCACAGCAAGAUGGAGCAUCGAGGUAAAGGUUGCAGCAUAGAGAGCUACGCACUGAUGGUUGCUAGGAAGAGACUGGGGACCAGAUGAACUUCAAAGGUGAUCUGUGACCUAACUGCUCCAGCUUCACUUCCGAGCUGCUUCUACCUCUCAAUGGGGCCUUCAUAUUAUGAAUGCAGCAAUAAAUUCAUCCACCGAUUA
Molecule: long non-coding RNA, 484 nt
Filed under: Mus musculus (house mouse)
Lineage: Eukaryota; Metazoa; Chordata; Mammalia; Rodentia; Muridae
Description: RIKEN cDNA 1700057H15 gene
Source: RNAcentral